UACGGAGGAUCCAAGCGUUGUCCGGAUUUAUUGGGCUUAAAGGGUGCGUAGGCGGAUAAUUAAGUCAGUGGUGAAAUCUUGCGGCUCAACCGUAAAAUUGCCAUUGAAACUGAUUAUCUUGAGUACAGUUGAGGUGGGCGGAAUGUAUCAUGUAGCGGUGAAAUGCUUAGAUAUGAUGCAGAACACCUAUUGCGAAAGCAGCUCACUAAGCUGCAACUGACGCUGAGGCACGAAAGCGUGGGGAUCAAACAGG
RNAcentral lists this ribosomal RNA (253 nucleotides) under uncultured bacterium. RNAcentral describes it as "partial 16S ribosomal RNA". It matches the Rfam family "Bacterial small subunit ribosomal RNA", at positions 524 to 776 of the family's 1533-position model. The record is from RNAcentral.